RNAcentral lists this ribosomal RNA (1562 nucleotides) under Companilactobacillus crustorum. RNAcentral's name for it is "bacterial SSU rRNA". It matches the Rfam family "Bacterial small subunit ribosomal RNA". Lineage: Bacteria; Bacillati; Bacillota; Bacilli; Lactobacillales; Lactobacillaceae. The record is from RNAcentral.
AUGAGAGUUUGAUCCUGGCUCAGGACGAACGCUGGCGGCAUGCCUAAUACAUGCAAGUCGAACGAACCAUCCUGAAGAUUGAAGCUUGCUUCAUGAUUCAGACCUUGGUGAGUGGCGGACGGGUGAGUAACACGUGGGUAACCUGCCCAAAAGUGGGGGAUAACAUCUGGAAACAGGUGCUAAUACCGCAUAACAACUACUUUCUCAUGAUCGUAGCUUGAAAGAUGGCUCUGCUAUCGCUUUUGGAUGGACCCGCGGCGUAUUAGCUAGUUGGUGAGGUAAUAGCUCACCAAGGCAAUGAUACGUAGCCGACCUGAGAGGGUAAUCGGCCACAUUGGGACUGAGACACGGCCCAAACUCCUACGGGAGGCAGCAGUAGGGAAUCUUCCACAAUGGGCGAAAGCCUGAUGGAGCAAUGCCGCGUGAGUGAAGAAGGUUUUCGGAUCGUAAAACUCUGUUGUUGAAGAAGAACAUGCGUGAGAGUAACUGUUCACGUACUGACGGUAUUCAACCAGAAAGCCACGGCUAACUACGUGCCAGCAGCCGCGGUAAUACGUAGGUGGCAAGCGUUGUCCGGAUUUAUUGGGCGUAAAGAGAAUGUAGGCGGUUUAUUAAGUUUGAAGUGAAAGCCCUCGGCUCAACCGAGGAAGUGCUUCGAAAACUGGUAAACUUGAGUGCAGAAGAGGAAAGUGGAACUCCAUGUGUAGCGGUGGAAUGCGUAGAUAUAUGGAAGAACACCAGUGGCGAAGGCGGCUUUCUGGUCUGUAACUGACGCUGAGAUUCGAAAGCAUGGGUAGCAAACAGGAUUAGAUACCCUGGUAGUCCAUGCCGUAAACGAUGAGUGCUAAGUGUUGGAGGGUUUCCGCCCUUCAGUGCUGCAGCUAACGCAUUAAGCACUCCGCCUGGGGAGUACGAUCGCAAGAUUGAAACUCAAAGGAAUUGACGGGGGCCCGCACAAGCGGUGGAGCAUGUGGUUUAAUUCGAAGCAACGCGAAGAACCUUACCAGGUCUUGACAUACCAUGAAAAGCUAAGAGAUUAGUCUUUCCCUUCGGGGACAUGGAUACAGGUGGUGCAUGGUUGUCGUCAGCUCGUGUCGUGAGAUGUUGGGUUAAGUCCCGCAACGAGCGCAACCCUUAUUAUCAGUUGCCAGCAUUCAGUUGGGCACUCUGGUGAGACUGCCGGUGACAAACCGGAGGAAGGUGGGGACGACGUCAAAUCAUCAUGCCCCUUAUGACCUGGGCUACACACGUGCUACAAUGGUCGGUACAACGUGCUGCGAACUCGCGAGGGUAAGCAAAUCACUUAAAACCGAUCUCAGUUCGGAUUGUAGGCUGCAACUCGCCUACAUGAAGCUGGAAUCGCUAGUAAUCGCGGAUCAGCAUGCCGCGGUGAAUACGUUCCCGGGCCUUGUACACACCGCCCGUCACACCAUGAGAGUUUGUAACACCCAAAGUCGGUGGGGUAACCCUUCGGGGAACUAGCCGCCUAAGGUGGGACAAAUGAUUAGGGUGAAGUCGUAACAAGGUAGCCGUAGGAGAACCUGCGGCUGGAUCACCUCCUU